RNAcentral lists this transfer-messenger RNA (404 nucleotides) under Flavobacteriales. RNAcentral's name for it is "UBA974 sp002722795 Standard tmRNA". It matches the Rfam family "transfer-messenger RNA". From Rfam's summary of the family: Bacterial tmRNA, also known as 10Sa RNA or SsrA, is named for its dual tRNA and mRNA-like properties. Its role is to liberate the mRNA from a stalled ribosome. RNAcentral also lists the same sequence under 1 other name. The record is from RNAcentral. Lineage: Bacteria; Pseudomonadati; Bacteroidota; Flavobacteriia.
GGGGCCGAUCUUGGAUUUGACAGCAAGAUGGUUAAGUGUGUAAGCAUGUCGAGCUCUUAGUUGUUCAGCUCGUAAAUCUCGAAUUUCUAAAGUCAGAAAUGACAACAAUUCCUACGCGCUCGCAGCCUAAUCGACUCAGUUGAUUACGCCUAAUUCUAGCCCUUAGAGGGCAGAACGAGCUAUCCCGAUAUUACGUACGGACCCUUCCGCAAUAUCAAUGGGGUAUCAGGUAAAUGGGACUAGUUAAAGGAGCGUUCUUCUCCUGGCACGAAUCUCUAAGGAACUAAGCUUAUGGUUAUGUGUCUUUUCAUUGCCUUAAGUCUAAAACCAUAAAUAGACUAAGCAUGUAGAACCCACCCUUCUCCCUUGUUUGGACGGGGGUUCGACUCCCCCCGGCUCCACAU